Eriocheir sinensis (Chinese mitten crab) is the source of this 2062-nucleotide long non-coding RNA. RefSeq lists it as uncharacterized. Lineage: Eukaryota; Metazoa; Arthropoda; Malacostraca; Decapoda; Varunidae. The record is from RefSeq and is a predicted model, not a curated record. The transcript has 5 exons.
UAUAAAGUAGGAGACAUGUCCUUGCCCCUGCUAACGCCCUCGUCCCCUCCCUUCCUCUCCUUUUCUAAUAUUUUCCCUCUUUCGUAAGGUGAUCAAAGGCUUAUCUAUACACACAACACAAUAUUUUGCUACUUAAAGGUGUUAAUACUACUACACUUCAAGCGGUAUAAUCGUUGACGUUACAUGUAUUGGCUCGGACAUUCCUAUACCAUCAAACAUUGUCCGGAACAUUGCUCGGAACAUUCGCGUGAAUAUGUUCGAUGCACCGUUGUUGCGAACUUACUGAAGCAUUGUUCGGAUUAUUGUUCAUAGGUUUCGUGUGGACGUUUCCUGGGUCGAACACACAUCUAACAGAACAUUUUGAUACCUGAGGUCGUGAAGAACGGACGUCGUUGUCGAAAUACCGGAGUUGAGUGUACACGAGACGAAGUGUUUAAGUUUAAUAGACCUUCAUCAGUGUCAUCCUCUCCUCUCGGAUCCUAAAGAGUGACAGUGAAGACCCAGAACACACAAAGAAGCUCAAGAAACCAGACGCGUGGAAUGGUAUAAAAGGGCUAUUACACUGAGCAGAUUUUCCGUGGAUCUUCAGUCAAACCACGAUAGCCCGCUGGCGUGGCUCUCAUAUUUCUGUGGUUUUCUGACGUGUUCACAAUCUUCCAAAGCUACGGUAGAGUUCCUUGAAGGACGACGGUAUUACUCACCAUCAUCAUCAUCAGCAAUAACAAGAAAUAAAUGAGAACCACGCUAGCAAAAAUCGUGGUUUGACUUAAGAUCCACGGAAGGUUUGCCCAGUGUAAUAGCCCCUUUAGUGACUUCGUGUGGACCGUGCCGAUGCCAUGAGGAAAAGGUCCCCGAUUGCCCAGCUGCGGAGGGAGGCAAGGCAGCCAGGAAGGAGUCAGAAGGAUGAUAGAAGGGUUAACAUGCUGUAGGGUGGGUUCACUGCGACAUUGGGGAAAUUCGAACCAAGUUGAAACACUUCAAAUCUGAUGUGAAAGAAAAAAAAGGGCGAAGGACCUUUACUAUCAGGAAGGAACAGGUGGCGGCCCAGCACAGAAGGUGGCGUACUCAGCGGCGGAGGAAGCCGUGCUGAGCAUGAUUCCUACAGCGGCCGUCACGGGCAUUCCUAACCCAGACCAAGUGGCACUAACACAUAAAAAUAUAUUUGUUAUGAUCAGAAAUAUGAUUCUUACUGAAUGAUAACUAUUAACCAUUAAAUAUUAUGUGUAAUACUAACUACACAUACAGUAUCUUGUGCUAACUACAUAGUGUUCACCAGAAAGUCAAAAUGUAUAUACACAUUAGUUAUAUUGUUGUAUUAUACAUUUACCACCUAUAAAACAGUAAGUUAGGACCAAGUUUAACAUUUGAAAUAGAUCUAAUACUUGUUAUAUAUUUUUAGGCUUAAAUCUACAGUAAAUAUUCAUUUAAUGUAUGAUAUUUAGUAUCUAUAGGAGAUAUAAAUUCCUCAAGGCUCCCGGGAGGGUGUAGGAGCUUAGCAAUGGUUUAAUAAUACUGCUGUACAGCAUUUAUAUGUUGUGAUUUCCUUACAGCAUACCAGGAUGCUGCGAUGGCUGUAGAGGAGUGGAGGCAGGUGCAGCCUGCCAUCGACGUUGCAGCGAUGAAUAGGGACGAGCAGCUCCAUCUUCAUGUCAGGAGGAAUGGUACCAGAUUGUCAUCAGCAGCCAAAACUGCAUGCAACCUAUGGAUCAUGGCUUCACCUGCAGCUUUCAACAGUUCCACACCUAUGUCACAAAUACCUGAAGUGGUAUGCCAUGAGACCACUCAAGAAGUCUGACGGACAGGCGAAUAGUGUGCACACUCUCUCGGUGAGGACUGGUUACCCGUGUGGGUGGAGCAACGCCUGGCAGUGGAGACUUGCUGUGGCUGACCAGCAGUGGGCACUGUACACCACGCCUGGAAGCAAGAACAGCGAGAUGAAAGGCAGCCUCGUGAUCAGUCAUGUCUUGAAACACCCAAAGAAAACCUUUGUAUUUGAAUUUCUGUAAUGGAAUACUAUUAUAAAGUUAAAUAAAGACUGAUGCAGGCACUCGUCUUGUUUAAA